GAUGAACGCUGGCGGCGUGCCUAAUACAUGCAAGUCGAACGCAUAGCGAAAGGUGCUUGCACCUUUCAAGUGAGUGGCGAACGGGUGAGUAACACGUGGACAACCUGCCUCAAGGCUGGGGAUAACAUUUGGAAACAGAUGCUAAUACCGAAUAAAACUUAGUGCCGCAUGACACAAAGUUAAAAGGCGCUUCGGCGUCACCUAGAGAUGGAUCCGCGGUGCAUUAGUUAGUUGGUGGGGUAAAGGCCUACCAAGACAAUGAUGCAUAGCCGAGUUGAGAGACUGAUCGGCCACAUUGGGACUGAGACACGGCCCAAACUCCUACGGGAGGCUGCAGUAGGGAAUCUUCCACAAUGGGCGAAAGCCUGAUGGAGCAACGCCGCGUGUGUGAUGAAGGCUUUCGGGUCGUAAGGCACUGUUGUAUGGGAAGAACAGCUAGAAUAGGAAAUGAUUUUAGUUUGACGGUACCAUACCAGAAAGGGACGGCUAAAUACGUG
This 497-nucleotide ribosomal RNA is filed under the name uncultured bacterium. Its description in RNAcentral is "partial 16S ribosomal RNA". It matches the Rfam family "Bacterial small subunit ribosomal RNA", at positions 28 to 507 of the family's 1533-position model. The record is from RNAcentral.